AUGUACAGUCAUACCAGCCUGAACGCACCCAAUCUCGUUUGGUCUCUGAAGUUAGGCACGGUCUGGCCUCCGCAUUACAUACACCACAGGAACUUUGUGAA
RNAcentral lists this ribosomal RNA (101 nucleotides) under Saimiri boliviensis boliviensis (Bolivian squirrel monkey). Lineage: Eukaryota; Metazoa; Chordata; Mammalia; Primates; Cebidae. The record is from RNAcentral.